Neogale vison (American mink) is the source of this 1435-nucleotide long non-coding RNA. Lineage: Eukaryota; Metazoa; Chordata; Mammalia; Carnivora; Mustelidae. The record is from Ensembl.
GGAAGGGCUGAGACGCCCAGCCCGCGUCGCCGGCAGCACAGCACACACGGGCAGGAGGCGUGCACUGGGGUGCAGGGGAGAUGCUCCUGUCCACUCUUUUCACUGAAUUCACUGGUGACUGAGCCCCGCAGAACGGCAUUCUUGGGUGACGUGCGUGGUCGGCGGAGUCUACACCUAGCAGCCUGUCUCGGGCCACAAGAGCCCCAAGGAGGUCGGAGACGCCGAAGGACCAAGUUCAGCAAAAGCCAGUACAAGGUGCUCAUCGAGGCCUUCGAGAGGGACUCGUACCCUGAUAUUAUCGCCAGAGAAGAAUUGGCCAGACGAACCCAGAUUCCAGAGCCCAGAAUCCAGGUCUGGUUUCAGAACCGGAGAGCCCGAAUCCCGAAGAUCAGCCAGAGGAGGCCAGGUGUGGAGGCGGACGCCCAACUCCCAGGGCCCGUUCAGCGCAGCAGCUGCGCCCCAGACUGCCCGUGUCAGCAAAACCUUGUGGGGGCCCCGAGCGAUGCUGGACACUUCUCUGGGGAGUCCGGGGCUGUUGCUGCUGCUCCAGCCCUUCCCUCGGGGCAUGCUGAUGUCCUGAACGAGAAUGUGGCCUUGCCUGACCUGGAGACUCCAGUCAGUGCGCUGGGCGAGCCUUCCAGAAAUUUCCAUUACUCUCCCUUGACCUUCAGCCCUGAAGCUCUGUGUUCACUUCGGGCUCCCCUACAGCCCCUUUUCCAACAGGAAGCUGGCUUCAGCGGCGCUCAGCAGGGGGACCCAGGACAGCUCCUGUCCUACAGGGACUGCACCCUACAGGGGUGGGAGCAGCCUCCUCCCUCGGAACAGCAGCCAUGGUGGGGCUGGCAGCCUUCUCCCACACUGGAGCCCGAGAUGGCGCCCCAGCAGCCGCUACCCCAGCAUUUGGGGGCCUGGGAGCAGGCACCGCCGUCCCCUCCACCCUGGGAGCAGUGGCCGCAGCCCUCACCCAUGGAGGAGCUUGCUGGCAUUUGGAGCGGUUUUCCCACCUCCUUCAGAGACAGGAUGCUGGCGAAGGGCCCCGGGGCACCCCAGCCCUCAUCCCCACAGCUGUGGGGCAGCCCCUGAAGAUGCUCCCUGGGCAAGAUGUUGAAAUGACUUAACUCUCUGGCGGAUAGAGUAAAUCAGCAAUGAUCCUCUGUACACUUAAGGCAGAAUUAGAAAAGUGCAACAAUUUGUGUCCUUACCCCAGAGAGGUGCCCCAGACUAGCACUCUGGCAGCUGGGGUCUGUCAUAAGGUGCAGAGAACCCCCAGGGAAUCCUUAUGUGGGAGAAAAAGGGAUUUUUAAACCCUGUCCGUCCUGCCUCCUAUUAAUUGGUAAACGUGGAGCACUUACAAUGUCCUGUAAACACUGGAAGGGCCUUGGGGUCGCGUGGGUCUGACAAUAAAGGAUGAGGACUCAAUCUGGCUGUGUCUGUG